RNAcentral lists this long non-coding RNA (370 nucleotides) under Homo sapiens (human). RNAcentral describes it as "HSALNT0366915". The record is from RNAcentral. Lineage: Eukaryota; Metazoa; Chordata; Mammalia; Primates; Hominidae.
AACACAUUUGGAAGCAUCUUGAGUGCCUGAAGGAGACAGAUCCCUGAGAAGAGCCAGAGACAUAGGGAGGAUGCAGGACUACCAUUACCAGCUCUGAAAACUGCUCUGUAACUCAGCCAAAGGAGACAAAAUCAGAAUAGCUGCUCAGCACCACUACACUGUGGAAGAAACACAUCGCUUUCUUCCUCUGUACUGGAGUGUAGCAACACAAAGACACAGCCAACAAUUUCACUUGGUGGUCUGAUGAACUCUCAUAAAUGCCUUGUUUACAGCAUAAGAAUUCCCACCCAAUGGCUUCAAUCUUUAGGUAGAAAUUUGUCACUUGCCUACCUCUAAAUGCACAGUCCAGAAGAGUAAAAACAGCAACAAU